RNA transcript from Eutrema salsugineum, 1566 nucleotides. It is a transcript of the gene named F-box/kelch-repeat protein SKIP6, with no coding region annotated. The transcript is spliced from 3 exons. The record is from RefSeq and is a predicted model, not a curated record. NCBI's taxonomy places the organism in Eukaryota, Viridiplantae, Streptophyta, Magnoliopsida, Brassicales, Brassicaceae.
AAAAAAAAAACGUAACUUUGAAAUUAAUCGACAAUCCAAAUGGAUCCCUCCGGCUCCGGUAAUCGAACAAUGAUGAAAGCAAGAUGUUCAAUUUCCGAUGAACCGCCGAAUAAGCGGAGGAAGUUGUCUCCGUCCCUUUCUGGGUUAUGGUCGUCGUUGCCACAUGAAUUAGCUGUGAGCAUCCUGGCUCAGGUCUCGAGAUUUGACCUCGGGGCCUUAGCUAUCUCCUCCAAGAGGCACCGCUCUCUAGUAGCUUCCCGAGAGCUCUACGACUUGAGAUUGCAGAUGGGUUUCACCGAAGCAUCUCUCUACGUAUGCUUACGCAUCUUUCCUGACCCAAUCCCACGCUGGUUCGUCCUCAAUCCCACGCAGCGUCGCCUUUGCCCGAUCCCCUCGAACCCAGAAUCAUCAUCAUCAUCAUCAUCAUCAUCAUCAUCAUCCUCGUUCGUGGUGGUGAGUCGAGGCAUCAUAAACGGCAAUCGCACAUCCGAUGUCUGGUUCCUCGAUUGCUUCUCUCACACAUGGCGACUCGUCCCGUCCAUGAGGAUGGCUCGUGCUUCUGCAUCGGCAAGUCUGGUAGACGGGAAGAUAUACGUGAUUGGAGGGUGCGGAAUGGUCGCUGAUUCCCAAAACUGGGGAGAGAUAUUCCAUCUCAAGACCCAAACUUGGGAAGACUGGUUUAUCCCCAACAUGGACGAAAUCCAUCAGAGUGUGGUGAUAAAGGAGGAGAAGAAGGUUUACGUGGUGGAUGAGGCACGACGAGUCUCCUACUUAUCCCCAGGUAAUUGUAAGUUUUGGACAUUACGGAAAAUGGAUUCUAAGCCAGGACACAGGAGCGACUGGUGUGCUCUAGGGAAGCUUUUAUACUGUCGUGAUUCUCGUGGGAGAAUACUGUGGUGUGAGCCACACGAGCUGGAUUGGAAACAAGUCAAGGGUCUGGAAGAGUUGCAACACUUGUCUCGCUCCUCUGCUUCUACACAAGUCUCCUAUCCUCUUAAACCAUGUUCGGGGACAACCAGUUUCCAAUAUGAUAUCUGCAGACUCUGCAGCAACUCUGCUGGGAACAUUGUUAUCUUCUGGAACGCCUAUCUUGGAGGUUUGGAGCUUUGGUCUGCCGAGAUUUCCAUGGAGAAACGCGAGGGAUGCGAGAUUUGGGGGAAGAUCUGCUCCUGUCUUCAAAUUUAAUCCUCUCUCACACUCAUUUGGCGUUAAGGUCUUAUAUUCUGCCUCUGUCCUUGUCUGAGAUUCCAAGCUUCUCACAGACUCACUAUUGUUUAUAUCAUCCAGUUGUUCUAGUACAAAAGACCAAAUGCAUAUGCUCAAUUGAUUCUCUUCGUUUUCUCUAAAUCAGCCGCUUGCUAGUUCUGUUGUCUAGUUUUAUGUGGAGUUUCCAGCAAUCGUUUGAUGUCUAUUAAAUCUCAGAAGCUGAUUAGAGGUGUUGCUCUGAGUAAAGAAAAGACAAAAAGCAUUGAAUUUAAAAAACCCUUGGAAUAUAUAGAAAUGAUAUUUCACUUAAAGAGGACAAAGAAAGCUCUCAAACACAAAGCCAAUCAGAGCCGAGACCAA